AUGAUGACGUGCCGAUCCUCGACGACUUCGUCCUCCCUUUGGACAAGACGAUGGCCAUGGUGGAAUAUGAUGCACCCCCCCACAUGGUUCCAUCACGAUGAAGAUGAACACGAUUUGGUCUUCCCCACCUCACCUACACCACUUGAGUGGAACGACAAAGGUAACAUAGGUGAAGGUGAUGCUCUUGUCCCACUAGUGGACAUUCUUGACAUUGAUUGCUUGCAUGAUGUUGAUCCACCUAGUACCUUGCUUAAUUCUAGUAUGAUUUCCCCAUGUGAUGAUUUUCCCAUUUAUGAUGAGUACGAUGAUUCUCAUGUGGAGUCUAUUAGUUGUGAUGCCACGUUACAUAGGAUUUCUUGUGACAAUUCUUUAGGUCACAUCAUGUUUGCUAAUCCGCUUGACUUGUCAUAUGCUAUGCAUGAGAUCAACCAUAUGUCUUAUUUGCAAUCUCUUCAUAGUGACUAUGCAUAUGCCAUUAAAAUAAACCCAAUUUGCACUUUUGGCAUAGAUGACAAGCCCAUGGUUAUUGGCAUUUGUUUCUCUUGUGAUGAUAUUGAUAUGCUCCCUUUGCAUCAUUUAUCUCAUAUGCCAUGCCAUGACCACCUAGCUUCGGAUAUGAAUUGUUUUGGAUGUUGUCCAUUUUCUCCAUAUUAUGCUUCCGAUAUUGCUCAUGAGGAGACCCCCAUAGUUUCCUCAUACUCGUUAGGAGAUUUUGAUCCAUCCUAUGAUUUGCAUGAUUUCCAUGAUUGUGUGCACCAUAUGCUCCCCAUGAACAAACAUGCUAUUGAUGUGCCAUAUAAUUGUUUGCUCAAUUUGUGUCCUCAUCGUGUCAUACAUAACAACUAUUCUUUCAUGAUGGAUGACAUGUUCUUAUACCAUGCAUCAAAUUUCUUUGAGCAUUUCUUAUCUUGUGCUAACUCACACGUGCACAUACACAUCAUGAUGGAUGAUGUGUACAUUUACCACACACACAAUUUCUUACGUUUGUGUCUCUUUUGUGUAGGUACCCAUGAUUACUUGUCAACCUCACAAUCCCAUGAGUUGACAAAACGAGCUCUAGAGAGCAAUGAUGACUUGGGAUUACGUGGAUUUUCAUUCCCACCACUCGCUUCGCGCAAAGACUUCGUGCAUCUCUUCUACAUGGCCCUCACAUGGUUAUGGGUUAUAUAUCACUUCGUCCUUUAUGCCCAUAUUGCCAUGUUCACUUUGCACGAUAUGCUCAUUCCUAUGCCUUUGUCAUGCAUUUGUGACCCAUGCUUCACAUUACACAUGAUGAUUGAUUCUAGUACUUGUAUGUGUAUUUGCAAGCUUGGUGGAGAUAUCACUUGUUAUUGA
RNAcentral lists this ribosomal RNA (1335 nucleotides) under Triticum aestivum (bread wheat). RNAcentral's name for it is "partial small subunit ribosomal RNA". The record is from RNAcentral. Lineage: Eukaryota; Viridiplantae; Streptophyta; Magnoliopsida; Poales; Poaceae.